AGCCAAGUUUUCAACACAUCUUUUUAGGAAGGGCACUUCAUAUCCAAACCAUAACUGAAAAAUCUGGAAGGGGCUUCUUCCUCAGAAACAGUAAGUUAUCUACUUCCAUAACAACAACCACUUCUCUACUCAAAAUGGAACUGACAAGCAUCACAAAUCAAAACAACAGGGAAGGAAACCCUAUUCUUGUUGAAUGACCGCACAGCUGAUGGGACUAUGAUUAUGGAGUUCUUUGUGGAUGUAACCAUUCAUAAGAAGUGCCUUGAG
Molecule: long non-coding RNA, 267 nt
Organism: Rattus rattus (black rat)
Lineage: Eukaryota; Metazoa; Chordata; Mammalia; Rodentia; Muridae
Exons: 3
Source: RefSeq, a predicted model, not a curated record